CAACCUCAUGGUUCCUAGUCGGAUUCGUUAACCACUGCGCCACGACCGGAACUCCUAUUCUCUUGGUUUUACAAAGAGCUUGUUUGUGUUUUCAGAACUGGCUGGUUGAGAUGAAAUACAGGCGCAGAUGAAAUGUUUUCCGACAAGAAAAGAACCACAAUCUUUUACCGUGGGGCUCCAUUUCCUGCAGUCUCAUCGCCAACACCCCCCUUCCCUCAUCCCCGCAGCCUUGGAAUUGGCCAUCAAGCUGACAGACUCAUUUAAGUGCUGCCAAAGGCACUGAACAAAUAAAAGGCAUCAUUUAUGUC
Phacochoerus africanus (Common warthog) is the source of this 308-nucleotide long non-coding RNA. RefSeq lists it as uncharacterized. The record is from RefSeq and is a predicted model, not a curated record. NCBI's taxonomy places the organism in Eukaryota, Metazoa, Chordata, Mammalia, Artiodactyla, Suidae. The transcript has 2 exons.